This 253-nucleotide ribosomal RNA is filed under the name uncultured bacterium. RNAcentral describes it as "partial 16S ribosomal RNA". It matches the Rfam family "Bacterial small subunit ribosomal RNA", at positions 524 to 776 of the family's 1533-position model. The record is from RNAcentral.
AACGUAGGUCCCGAGCGUUAUCCGGAUUUACUGGGCGUAAAGCGUGUUCAGGCGGUCUAGCAAGUCGGGCAUGAAAUCUCUCGGCUCAACCGGGAGGGGUUGUCCGAUACUGCUGGGCUUGAGGGCAGCAGAGGGUGGUGGAAUUCCGGGUGUAGUGGUGAAAUGCGUAGAUAUCCGGAGGAACACCAGUGGCGAAGGCGGCCACCUGGGCUGUACCUGACGCUCAAACACGAAAGCUAGGUGAGCGAACGGG